RNAcentral lists this ribosomal RNA (256 nucleotides) under uncultured bacterium. Its description in RNAcentral is "partial 16S ribosomal RNA". It matches the Rfam family "Bacterial small subunit ribosomal RNA", at positions 524 to 776 of the family's 1533-position model. The record is from RNAcentral.
UACGGAGGGUGCAAGCGUUAAUCGGAAUUACUGGGCGUAAAGCGCGCGUAGGCGGUUUGAUAAGUCGAUUGUGAAAUCCCCCGGGCUCAACCUGGGAAUUGCAGUCGAGACUGUCAGACUAGAGUGUGGGAGAGGGUGGUGGAAUUCCCGGUGUAGCGGUGAAAUGCGUAGAUAUCGGGAGGAACAUCAGUGGCGAAGGCGACCGGCCUGGCCCAACACUGACGGCUGAGGUGCGAAAGCGUGGGUAGCAAACAGG